Molecule: ribosomal RNA, 253 nt
Filed under: uncultured bacterium
Lineage: Bacteria
Description: partial 16S ribosomal RNA
Rfam family: Bacterial small subunit ribosomal RNA
Source: RNAcentral
UACGUAGGUGGCAAGCGUUGUCCGGAUUUACUGGGCGUAAAGGGCGUGCAGGCGGUUUGUUAAGUGCAGGGUGAAAGCUCCCGGCUCAACUGGGAGAGGUCCUUGCAUACUGGCAAACUCGAGGGAGGCAGAGGAAAGUGGAAUUCCCGGUGUAGUGGUGAAAUGCGUAGAUAUCGGGAGGAACACCAGUGGCGAAGGCGACUUCCUGGCCUGUUCUUGACGCUGAGGCGCGAAAGCUAGGGUAGCAAACGGG